Suncus etruscus (white-toothed pygmy shrew) is the source of this 165-nucleotide small nuclear RNA. RefSeq annotates it as U1 spliceosomal RNA. The transcript has a single exon. The record is from RefSeq and is a predicted model, not a curated record. Lineage: Eukaryota; Metazoa; Chordata; Mammalia; Eulipotyphla; Soricidae.
AUACUUACCUGGCAAGGGCGAUUCCAUGAUCAUGAUUCCAUGAUUCCCCAGGGUGAGGCUCACCCAUUGCCCUCCAGGCAUGCUGACCCCUGCGAUUUCCCCAAAUGUGGAAAACUCGACUGUGUAAUUUAUAGUAGUGGGGGACUGCAUGCGCGCUAUCCCCUG